GCGAAUGGCUCAUUAAAUCAGUUAUCGUUUAUUUGAUAGUACCUUACUACUUGGAUAACCGUGGUAAUUCUAGAGCUAAUACAUGCUGAAAACCCCAACUUCGGGAGGGGUGUAUUUAUUAGAUAAAAAACCAACGCCCUUCGGGGCUUCUUGGUGAUUCAUGAUAACUUAACGGAUCGCAUGGCCUUGCGCCGGCGACGGUUCAUUCAAAUUUCUGCCCUAUCAACUUUCGAUGGUAAGGUAUUGGCUUACCAUGGUUUCAACGGGUAACGGGGAAUUAGGGUUCGAUUCCGGAGAGGGAGCCUGAGAAACGGCUACCACAUCCAAGGAAGGCAGCAGGCGCGCAAAUUAUCCAAUCCCGACACGGGGAGAUAGUGACAAUAAAUACUGAUACAGGGCUCUUUUGGGUCUUGUAAUUGGAAUGAGUACAAUUUAAACCUCUUAACGAGGAACAAUUGGAGGGCAAGUCUGGUGCCAGCAGCCGCGGUAAUUCCAGCUCCAAUAGCGUAUAUUAAAGUUGUUGCAGUUAAAAAGCUCGUAGUUGAACCUUGGGUCUGGCUGGCAGGUCCGCCUCACCGCGUGUACUUGUCCGGCCGGGCCUUCCUUCUGGAGAACCUCAUGCCCUUCACUGGGCGUGUUGGGGACCAGGACUUUUACUUUGAAAAAAUUAGAGUGUUCAAAGCAGGCCUUUGCUCGAAUACGUUAGCAUGGAAUAAUAGAAUAGGACGUGCGGUCCUAUUUUGUUGGUUUCUAGGACCGCCGUAAUGAUUAAUAGGGACAGUCGGGGGCAUCAGUAUUCAAUUGUCAGAGGUGAAAUUCUUGGAUUUAUUGAAGACUAACUACUGCGAAAGCAUUUGCCAAGGAUGUUUUCAUUAAUCAGUGAACGAAAGUUAGGGGAUCGAAGACGAUCAGAUACCGUCGUAGUCUUAACCGUAAACUAUGCCGACUAG
RNAcentral lists this ribosomal RNA (950 nucleotides) under Paraloratospora marina. RNAcentral's name for it is "SSU rRNA". It matches the Rfam family "Eukaryotic small subunit ribosomal RNA", at positions 89 to 1049 of the family's 1831-position model. The record is from RNAcentral. Lineage: Eukaryota; Fungi; Ascomycota; Dothideomycetes; Pleosporales; Phaeosphaeriaceae.